UGGGGAAUAUUGCACAAUGGGCGCAAGCCUGAUGCAGCCAUGCCGCGUGUAUGAAGAAGGCCUUCGGGUUGUAAAGUACUUUCAGUCGGGAGGAAGGUGGUAAGGUUAAUAACCUUAUCAAUUGACGUUACCGACAGAAGAAGCACCGGCUAACUCCGUGCCAGCAGCCGCGGUAAUACGGAGGGUGCAAGCGUUAAUCGGAAUUACUGGGCGUAAAGCGCACGCAGGCGGUUUGUUAAGUCAGAUGUGAAAUCCCCGGGCUCAACCUGGGAACUGCAUCUGAUACUGGCAAGCUUGAGUCUCGUAGAGGGGGGUAGAAUUCCAGGUGUAGCGGUGAAAUGCGUAGAGAUCUGGAGGAAUACCGGUGGCGAAGGCGGCCCCCUGGACGAAGACUGACGCUCAGGUGCGAAAGCGUGGGGAGCAAACAGG
RNAcentral lists this ribosomal RNA (429 nucleotides) under Chloroflexota bacterium. Its description in RNAcentral is "Chloroflexi bacterium partial 16S ribosomal RNA". It matches the Rfam family "Bacterial small subunit ribosomal RNA", at positions 355 to 776 of the family's 1533-position model. Lineage: Bacteria; Bacillati; Chloroflexota. The record is from RNAcentral.